GCCAUGGUGGCUCAAUGGUUAAGUGCUGGGCUGCAAACCUAAAGAUCUGUGGUUUGAACCCACCAGUGGCU
RNAcentral lists this transfer RNA (71 nucleotides) under Loxodonta africana (African savanna elephant). It matches the Rfam family "tRNA". Rfam says of the family: Transfer RNA (tRNA) molecules are approximately 80 nucleotides in length. Their secondary structure includes four short double-helical elements and three loops (D, anti-codon, and T loops). Lineage: Eukaryota; Metazoa; Chordata; Mammalia; Proboscidea; Elephantidae. The record is from Rfam by way of RNAcentral.